UAGGAUUUAGUGUAUUAUGGUAGCACGGAGAUUUUUGAAUUCUCAGGAUUGGGUUCAAUUCCCAUUAUUCUAG
This 73-nucleotide transfer RNA is filed under the name Solenodon paradoxus paradoxus. Its description in RNAcentral is "tRNA-Gln". It matches the Rfam family "tRNA". From Rfam's summary of the family: Transfer RNA (tRNA) molecules are approximately 80 nucleotides in length. Their secondary structure includes four short double-helical elements and three loops (D, anti-codon, and T loops). Lineage: Eukaryota; Metazoa; Chordata; Mammalia; Eulipotyphla; Solenodontidae. The record is from RNAcentral.